CGAGGGGCAUCAAAAAAAAUAUAAGAUAAGUUUACUUAACUUAUGUUUUUUGUUUGGCAACCGGCGUAAGGGUGAGUAAUACAUACCUAACUUUCCUUAUGCUGAAGGAUAGCCCGAGGAAACUUGGAUUAAUACUUCAUAAUACCAUUUUUUAUUAAGAAAUUUGGUUAAAGUUAUUAUGGCAUAAGAUAGGCGUUUGUCCGAUUAGUUAGUUGGGAAGGUAAUGGCUUACCAAGACAUUGAUCGGUAGGGGGCCUGAGAGGGCGUACCCCCACAUUGGUACUGAGACACGGACCAAACUUCUACGGAAGGCAGCAGUGAGGAAUAUUGGUCAAUGGAGGCAACUCUGAACCAGCCACUCCGCGUGUAGGAAGAAGGCAAUUUAGGUUGUAAACUACUUUUGUAUAUGAAUAAAAAAUUCUAUUUUUAGAAAAAUUGAAGGUAAUAUACGAAUAAGUAUCGGCCAACUCUGUGCCAGCAGCCGCGGUAAAACAGGGGAUACCAGCGUUAUCCGGAUUUAUUGGGUUUAAAGGGUGCGUAGGUUGUUUUUUAAGUCAGUAGUGAAAUCUUAAAGCUUAACUUUAAAAGUGCUAUUGAGACUGAUAAACUAGAGUGAGGUUGGAGUAACUGGAAUGUGUGGUGGAGCGGUGAAAUGCAUAGAGAUCACACAGAACACCAAUAGCGCAAGCAGGUUACUAAACCUAGACUGACACUGAGGCACGAAAGCAUGGGUAGCAAACAGGAUUAGAUACCCUGGUAGUCCAUGCCGUAAACGAUGAUCACUAACUAUUGGAGAAUAAUUCAGUGGUCAAGCGAAAGUGAUAAGUGAUCCACCUGAGGAGUACGACCGCAAGGUUGAAACUCAAAGGAAUUGACGGGGGUCCGCACAAUCGGUGGAGCAUGUGGUUUAAUUCGAUGAUACGCGAGGAACCUUACCAAAACUUAAAUGUAUUACGAAUAAAUUGGAAACAAUUUAGUCAUUAGACGGAGUACAAGGUGCUGCAUGGUUGUCGUCAGCUCGUGCCGUGAGGUGUGAGGUUAAGUCUUUGAACGAGCGCAACCCUUAUUAUUUAGUUACCAUCAAGUAAUGUUGGGGACUCUAAUAAGACUGCCGGCGUAAGCCGAGAGGAAGGUGGGGACGACGUCAAAUCAUCACGGCCCUUAUGUUUUGGGCCACACACGUGUUACAAUGGUCGGUACAAAAGGCAGCAACUGGGUGACCAGAAGCAAAUCUUUAAAGCCGAUCUAAGUUCGGAUUGGAGUCUGCAACUCGACUCUAUGAAGCUGGAAUCGCUAGUAAUCGUGCAUCAGCCAUGGCGCGGUGAAUAUGUACCCGGGCCUUGUACACACCGCCCGUCAAGCCAAAGAAGUUGGAAGUACCUAAAAUCGGUGACCUUUAUAGA
Molecule: ribosomal RNA, 1403 nt
Filed under: Candidatus Karelsulcia muelleri
Lineage: Bacteria; Pseudomonadati; Bacteroidota; Flavobacteriia; Flavobacteriales
Description: bacterial SSU rRNA
Rfam family: Bacterial small subunit ribosomal RNA
Source: RNAcentral